GGAGACUUUACAAACUCCUAUGUGGAUACCCGAACAUGGAGAAUAUACAAGGGACAGAUAGGGAUAUAACCACCUUCUGCCUACCCCACUACUGAGGCACCAUCAUAUGUGAAGGCUCCCUUGCACCCGAGCACCAUGCAUGCCUGCAUAGAAGAAAGCUAUGUACAUCCCCCCAUGGACUCUGACCCUGUAGAUUGACAAGCAUAGGACAAGGGCAAACCCGAAGCCA
RNAcentral lists this long non-coding RNA (229 nucleotides) under Sorghum bicolor (sorghum). Its description in RNAcentral is "long non-coding RNA (SBIC_LNC008275)". Lineage: Eukaryota; Viridiplantae; Streptophyta; Magnoliopsida; Poales; Poaceae. The record is from RNAcentral.